CAAUAGCGUAUAUUUAAGUUGUUGCAGUUAAAAAGCUCGUAGUUGGAUUUCGGGCGGGUGACGGCGGUCCGCCUCUGGUGUGCACUGCCGGCAUCAGCCUUUCUGUCGGGGACGGGCUCCUGGGCUUCAUUGCUUGGGACUCGGGUUCGACGUGGUUACUUUGAGUAAAUUAGAGUGUUCAAAGCAGGCGAUCGCCCUGAAUACAUUAGCAUGGAAUAGCACGAUAGGACUCUGGCCUAUUUUGCUGGUCUGUAGGACCGGAGUAAUGAUUAAGAGGGACAGUCGGGGGCAUUCGUAUUUCAUUGUCAGAGGUGAAAUUCUUGGAUUUAUGAAAGACGAACUUCUGCGAAAGCAUUUGCCAAGGAUGUUUUCAUUGA
This 377-nucleotide ribosomal RNA is filed under the name uncultured eukaryote. Its description in RNAcentral is "partial 18S ribosomal RNA". It matches the Rfam family "Eukaryotic small subunit ribosomal RNA", at positions 592 to 976 of the family's 1831-position model. The record is from RNAcentral.